Molecule: non-coding RNA, 181 nt
Filed under: Bacillota bacterium
Lineage: Bacteria; Bacillati; Bacillota
Also listed under: 1 other name
Description: 6S RNA
Rfam family: 6S / SsrS RNA
About the family: E. coli 6S RNA was the first non coding RNA to be sequenced, but its function was unknown until recently. It consists of 184 nucleotides that fold into an extended hairpin structure with a large single-stranded internal bulge.
Source: RNAcentral
AAUGUCCUGGAGUGUUCGUUAUGAUUAUGUAAUUUAACCUACAAUAAGUUCACGGGAAUUCGGUGUUGUACGGCGGAUCUCAUGCCUCCUGCGGGGAGGAAGCUUGAAACCGUAUACAGGGUACCCACCUAUCAGAAAGAUAGGGAGUGAAUUAGUAAUCAGACGGCAUUUUGGGAUAUUU